GAUGAACGCUGGCGGCGUGCUUAACACAUGCAAGUCGAACGGAAAGGCCCAAGCUUGCUUGGGUACUCGAGUGGCGAACGGGUGAGUAACACGUGGGUGAUCUGCCCUGCACUUCGGGAUAAGCCUGGGAAACUGGGUCUAAUACCGGAUAGGACCACUUCUUGGAUGUUGUGGUGGAAAGUUUUUUCGGUGUGGGAUGAGCUCGCGGCCUAUCAGCUUGUUGGUGGGGUAAUGGCCUACCAAGGCGUCGACGGGUAGCCGGCCUGAGAGGGUGUACGGCCACAUUGGGACUGAGAUACGGCCCAGACUCCUACGGGAGGCAGCAGUGGGGAAGAUUGCACAAUGGGCGCAAGCCUGAUGCAGCGACGCCGCGUGGGGGAGGACGGCCUUCGGGUUGUAAACUCCUUUCGCUAGGGACGAAGCGUUUUGUGACGGUACCUGGAGAAGAAGCACCGGCUAACUACGUG
RNAcentral lists this ribosomal RNA (467 nucleotides) under uncultured bacterium. RNAcentral's name for it is "partial 16S ribosomal RNA". It matches the Rfam family "Bacterial small subunit ribosomal RNA", at positions 28 to 507 of the family's 1533-position model. The record is from RNAcentral.